Molecule: long non-coding RNA, 209 nt
Organism: Molossus molossus (Pallas's mastiff bat)
Lineage: Eukaryota; Metazoa; Chordata; Mammalia; Chiroptera; Molossidae
Exons: 3
Source: RefSeq, a predicted model, not a curated record
CGCGGGGCGACGGGCCCGAGACGGCGUUCCGCACCCCGGAUUCGCCUUGGUUCGGCCCCGCGUACAUUUCCCUUUCUCCAUGAUCUCCAACACUGAUAAAGUGGAAGAAACUGAGGUACCAUGAAAGAGAAAAGUAACUGGAACUGAGAAAAAGAAAGAGCUCUGUGAGGUCAUCAUUGAAGUAGAGCAGUAUUGCAGGUGUGUGGAGU